This 814-nucleotide long non-coding RNA is filed under the name Gouania willdenowi (blunt-snouted clingfish). Its description in RNAcentral is "lncRNA (ENSGWIG00000017244.1)". Lineage: Eukaryota; Metazoa; Chordata; Actinopteri; Blenniiformes; Gobiesocidae. The record is from RNAcentral.
CGAGUUCCAGGAAAUGCAGAAGUGAUCUUCCCCUUUUCAACAUGAGACUAGAGCAGUGUUAGUGAGCAGGUUGGACGCUCUAACGUCACUCUGCUGUGUUCACACUGUGAGCUGGUGACAGACGCACACAGGCGCAGCUUCUUCUCUACAGCAGCAGCUGAAAAGGCUGAUGUGAGACAUUAAGUGUAAGCUGGCUUACACGUCACACGCUGUCAGUGAGACACUUCUGAGGAAGGAGAGAGACAUCACAGAAAGUGUCAAACAAAGCUCAUCAUCUCAUGACGUGGAGAUGGAUCAGGACACGGUGAAGGAACAACAUGAGAUCCAGACUGAAGAUCAGAGGUGAGACCACGUCAGAGCUCAGCACUCUCACCUCUGUACAUCAGUGUUACACUGUGUGUGUGUGUGUGUGUGUGUGUGUGUGUGUGUGUGUGUGUGUGUGUGUGUGUGUGUGUGUGUGUGUGUGUGUGUUCAAGGACCAGGAAUAAGCUCACAUCUGGACCUGGACCCAGCUGUGUGUCCUUUAGAAGUGACCAGUCCAUGGACAUACGUAUGAACUUCAAAGGAGGUCCAUCUACUGACCCACAAACCAAGCCCAGACUAAGUGGACCAGGACCUGAACCCGAACCCAGCUGUGUGUCCUUUAGAAGUAACAAGUCCAUGUCCAGACACAUUGUAUUCAAAGGUGGUCCAUCUACUAACCCACGUUGAGUGAACAAAUAAUAAGGGUGCUUGUUGUCUUCCUGAUAGUCCAGUUUCUUCACACUCGACACUGAUGAAGCACCAGUAAACAUGACUCAGCACUUUUGAUGGA